RNAcentral lists this RNase P RNA (280 nucleotides) under Mycoplasmopsis mustelae. Its description in RNAcentral is "Mycoplasma mustelae Bacterial RNase P class B". It matches the Rfam family "Bacterial RNase P class B". Rfam says of the family: Ribonuclease P (RNase P) is a ubiquitous endoribonuclease, found in archaea, bacteria and eukarya as well as chloroplasts and mitochondria. Its best characterised activity is the generation of mature 5'-ends of tRNAs by cleaving the 5'-leader elements of precursor-tRNAs. The record is from Rfam by way of RNAcentral. Lineage: Bacteria; Bacillati; Mycoplasmatota; Mycoplasmoidales; Metamycoplasmataceae.
UGCGUCAGCUGAUAGCUGCUAUCCUAAAUAGUAGAGGAAAGUCCGUGCUAGUACUAACUGCGAUGUUAGUAGUGAUCGUGUUAAACCUAAUAAGUUUAAGCCUAGACGACUAGUGCCACAGAGACGAGAGUAGUGAAACGCGGUAAACUCCACGAACUAGAAACCCAAAUUUGGUAGGGGAACCAUUAACUAAGAAAUGAAUUAGAAAAUGGAACAUUUUAUAUGUUAGAUAAAUUAUCAGCACUUCGUUUUAAAUGAAGCACAGAACACGGCUUAUGAU